CCAAUCCUAGCCUCGCCUCGUCCCACUCCCACUCCCAUUCUAGCCGCCAGACGAACCCUAGUCCCCUUGCCCAAUGCCCCCGAUCCCCAAAGCCGCCGCACGGCCUCGCUCCUCCUUCCCUCCCGCCGCACCCUUUCCUUGAUCGCAGCUGCCUCCUUCCCACCUCCGCCCGAGCUCCGCCUCCUCCUCCUUGCCAUCGGCGGAAGCCUCAAGCCCCGGCAUCACCGCCACCAGAUCCACCUCGCAACCUCUCUUCCUCCCCUGUCUGACUGCUGCGUGGUCGCGUCGGGCCCAUGCCGGGGCCGCCGCCACCGCUGCAGUCGCCGCCUCUGGAUGGCUCCGUCGGUCCCUCCCGCUCCAGAUCGAAAACUGAGAGAGCGACGGGAGGGAAGAAGGGGAUCGGGGGAGCCGCCGAGGCUGGGCAACUCGCUCCCAGGGAGCUCCCCUGCUUCGGGAGGGAAGGAUGAAAUCGGGGGAGCUCCCUGCAGCCUCUCCCUGACCCACGCCACCGGCCCUAUCUCUCUGCUCACCUCCUCCUCUCCUAUUCCCUGCCGUCAUGGUUCCGGAUCGGGGCUUGGGCCAUCGUCGUGGGGGAGCAGGGACGGCGGGGUCUUCACAGUGGAGGUGGAGCUGUAGGGGAGGGGAGGAUGCCAAUGACAAGGGAAAGGAGGAGGCCGAAGAGGACGGCAAUGGGGAGGCCGGCAGGGAAGGAGCAGGGAGAGGGCUUCUGCUUCUUCCAGCGGGCCAUGGCACCCGAGUUCAUCGUCAUCGUGUCCCUUGAGUUGAGCCCCCGUCGCCCCCCACUCCUCUCACUUUCUCGCGACAUCUCGCUGUCGAUCGCCACCCCAUUUCAAAAAUUCAGAGAGAGAUGCUGCGCGGCUCCCUCUGGCGGCUCCUGGCCGUGGCCGUGGCCGUGCCGGCGGCGACGCGGGCGGUGGCCGCCCUGAAGGCCGGUCGGAGCCUGCACCGGGACUUCGACGACGGCCGGGUGGUGGAGCUGGCGCUGGACCGGGAGACGGGGUCCAGGCUGGAGUCCAAGGACCGGUACCUCUUCGGGCGGUUCGAUCUCGACAUCAGGCUCGUCGCCGACGAGUCCGCCGGGACCAUCACUUCCUUCUAUGCACGUCAGGUCCCCCUCAAAACAGCCUAUUGUUCCAUUUUCAGCAGGAGCAACAGCAGCAGCCAGCAACUGAAUUAAUUUUGUAGGUGGUGUGAUCGGCCAGCAUGUGGCGCUCCCUUUUCAGCUGUGGUCCAGUUGUAGUACUGCGUAUUUAUUUAUCGGACCCAACCCGACCCCAAGGACCAUGGCUGAACGCAGCCUGGGUGUGAUGGUUUUUCAGGCUUUUGGUCUCUGUCUAUCUCUUCUUGUCGUCAUCAAAGGCUGAAGGGUGGUACGUAGUACAUGCAGAUGGGAAUGUGAGUGUUGCGGUUGGACAGGGGAUGAGGAGAACGAGUCUCCCUUGCGGAUUAGUGGUUGGUGCAUGAUGCUGGAUUGGUUGGCUGGUUGGGCUUGGUCCUUGGUGUGUUAGUUGAUUAAUCAUAGGCUGGUGGUUUGAGGUUGUCUGCAUCUGAUUGUUCAGUCAGUUGUUGAAUUUAUAGUUGCCAGGCAUAUGGGUAAGAUUCUGUGCACAUUUUUUUCAUGUAUUUUGUUGAGAGGAAGUAUCCUUUAGAAAACAGAGAGGUUGAAAAAAGACAUUCUUUUAAGAAGUGAAGAUAUGGCUGCUUUUAGUAAGCUUUAGAUAUGGCUGCUUUUAGUAAGCUUUUUAUCGGUUAUACUGAACUGUGUUCUAAAACUAUUGUCACAAUCCUGAAUUCUGAUCCUUCAUUCCUCUCGGACCAUGUCUAAAAUAAACCAAACCUCUGUGUUUACAUUUUUUGGUAAAAAUAAUUUCUUGCCUAUUGCAAUUAGGUAUAGAUUAAAACUUUUCAGUGCGAGAGUUCAGGCAUCACUAUGGUGCCAUACUGACCAAUGCAACAAGAUGUAUACUUCCAGUUCGGGGAACAUGCAUUUUGUAGGGAGUACAGUAUUGCUUGCACAUAUUCAGACUUGCCGCAGGUAGAACUGAUAUAUUAGUAGGUCACUAGCCCAAAAUAUAGUUAUAAUGAUGAACCUUUCAGCUUAAUGUUUAUGUCUUGCAGAUCAUUAUUUGAAUAUUUUCUUUUGUAUAUGUAGACACAAAAACAAAAUGUAUAGGUUAGUUUGAUGUGUUACAGGAGGGAAGCAGCGGAUGCGAGCCAGGAGGCGGAUCGGCUCGACCCAGCCAUGGAGCUGCCGCUGCGGACUCCCUGCCGGCCUCCUUCGUCUUCAUGUGGAUUUGCAUGGCAAGUGAUGUUGCGUUGCCAAUGACACAUCUAGAAUUGCUGUUCGUGACUCCUAUGUUCCUGAAUUUUUCUUUGUAGUGGUUGGGUGCUGCCAUAAAACCUGUAACAGCAGCAAGAUGCAGUUCUCGGCAAAUCGCUUUUAGAUCUGAGAAAGAAGAUGAACAGGAGAAUCCAAUAGAAGAAUUUGGUGAAGAACAAGCAUACAGGAAAAGAAUACAAUCAUAAGGCUGAUGCUGCUUAUCAACAUCCUUGUACACAAUACCCCAGAAGGAUUUGUAGGUAGCCUUUUCGAAGUGAAUUUUACAUAUCUUUGCCAAGCAAGAGGUUUGACAAGAUCUCUAUCACCCAUGGAAACACCACCAGAAGUAAGGAUUAUAUCAGCAUCAGAACAUAGAGCUGCAUCCAUAUGCUCCACAAGACUUCCUUCGGGUUGCGGAUGGAGGAGUACGUUAUUUCGACGGUCCUCUAUUUUACUGUUGCGUGUGCCUUCAGGUCCAUCAGUCUGUUAUUGCCGUUAUCUUCUUGAGAGUACUUGAGAAGGCGUGGCUGGGAAUGUGGGGACACGCCGCGCGUGGUCGGCAAGAGGAGUCAGGGAGGCAUGAAGGUGGACAUGUGGAUGUUAUCGUGGCAUUGACACAUUUCGCUCCACGGAUGCUACAUACCAGGGUGGUGGUGCAGGAUUCAUUGGAAGCCACACAGGGCACCCGAGAAGGAGAGGAGAAUGCGCUGAAGAGAGGAAAUGAUAAGUUUCAUUGUUUUGUUUUAAGAGCAAGGGAGUUGAUAUGUAGUCCCCUGGCUUAUUUGUAUUCUACUAUGUGUAUGGCCAAAGAAAUCAUGAUUUUAUACACACAUAUAUUUUUAAACAAACCUAUGUAUUUUUUGCUCAAACAGUCACCCGGAAGUGCACAUAUUUUCAAUGCGUAA
Molecule: RNA transcript, 3246 nt
Organism: Triticum dicoccoides
Lineage: Eukaryota; Viridiplantae; Streptophyta; Magnoliopsida; Poales; Poaceae
Gene name: xyloglucan endotransglycosylase/hydrolase protein 8-like
Exons: 8
Source: RefSeq, a predicted model, not a curated record